Molecule: small nucleolar RNA, 147 nt
Filed under: Ipomoea nil (Japanese morning glory)
Lineage: Eukaryota; Viridiplantae; Streptophyta; Magnoliopsida; Solanales; Convolvulaceae
Description: small nucleolar RNA snoR135
Rfam family: small nucleolar RNA snoR135
Source: Rfam by way of RNAcentral
UAAGCAGAGAUUGUGUGUAUCGACUUUGUGCCUCUUAAUAAAUGUACUUUGAUCGAAAGAGUUCUCUGCAAAACUAUAUAUUGGGGAAGAUGGGCAGUUGUGUUUCAUCCUCUUGUUGAGAUUUCAACAAUCAUCUUCCUUAAAUUC